AAAAGGAGAAAAUGGAUUGAUUGAUACAGGGAUCCAGGGGGUACCGAAAAAGGGACAAUGCUUCAACUGAAUGUGCCAUUCAUUUACAUGUACCAGUAUAGAUCUGUUACUGAGGCAUAUCCAAUAAUUCUUAUACUCAUGAAAAGUGUGGCAACUUCCAAGUAUUGAUGCUGGGAAUCAUUUUAAUCAGAAGAUGCUCACUUCUAGGAUGUUUCCAAGUUCUUGUUAAAAGUGUUUUAUAUGGCACCAUUCAGCUACAAAUAUUUUGCCAGUGGAACUGUGACAUCAAUCAACUGCUCAUGCACUGCUAAUUGGCAGAGAAUUUCCUUUGGGAGAAGCAAACUGUUUCAAACAUUUUAC
Long non-coding RNA from Saccostrea cuccullata (small rock oyster), 360 nucleotides. RefSeq lists it as uncharacterized. The transcript is spliced from 3 exons. Lineage: Eukaryota; Metazoa; Mollusca; Bivalvia; Ostreida; Ostreidae. The record is from RefSeq and is a predicted model, not a curated record.